CUUGCUUAAUAUUAGAGGUCCAGCCUGCCCAGUGAAAAUUUAACGGCCGCGGUACCCUGACCGCGCGAAGGUAGCAUAAUCACUCGUUCUUUAAAUAGGGACUUGUAUCAACGGCAUCACGAGGGUCGCACUGUCUCCUCCUUCCAAUCAGUGAACCUGAUCUCUCCGUGAAGAAGCGGGGAUAAAAAUAUAAGACGAGAAGACCCCAUGGAGCUUUAAACCUAAAGCAAUCUAAUCAAAUAAACCCCCAUAAAAAUUUAAAUAUGUGCACGGUUUUAGGUUGGGGUGACCGCGGAGUAAAAAUAAACCUCCACAACGAAAAAUAAAUUUUAUUCAAGAGCUACUACUCUAAAAAUUAGUACACUAACGAACAAUGACCCGAUAAUCGAUCAAUGAACCA
RNAcentral lists this ribosomal RNA (400 nucleotides) under Chirixalus nongkhorensis (Nongkhor pigmy tree frog). Its description in RNAcentral is "Chiromantis nongkhorensis (Nongkhor pigmy tree frog) partial 16S ribosomal RNA". It matches the Rfam family "Bacterial large subunit ribosomal RNA", at positions 1835 to 2459 of the family's 2925-position model. Lineage: Eukaryota; Metazoa; Chordata; Amphibia; Anura; Rhacophoridae. The record is from RNAcentral.